GAGAACGCGAGUACGUACUUGCGUACUUGAGAAUUGAGAAACGGCCCAGGUGAAAGUCUGCCAGCCGGACUUCACAGCUGGACUUCCUCCCUCUGUUAAACAGGAAGUGCUCCCACACCCAGCUCCAGUCUGCUAACAUGCUAACAGGGAUAUAUCAGAAACAGACCUGAGAGUUUAGAUGGAGGAAGGAUGAACCCCCCCCCCAUAUCAUCAUCAUAACAACCUCAGGUUAAUCUUCACCUGCUGAGCUGCAGCUGCAUCACCUUCCUGUCUUUACCAGCACUGCCUCCAUCAGGGGAGACAGCAGGUGGAGAUGGCACGUUUCCAGCUCAGUGUUGUGUGGUGUUGGUCGGGGGUUUCUCUGGUCCCAGAUCUAUUAAUUCAGAUUGAUCUGAGCCGCUUUGUCACAAGCAUCCGGCGCUCCAUGCGGCCCCGGGCUCCACACCGCCGCUGCCAGAGCAUCCACCCCUCAACCAUCACAGGAGGAGCUGGUCUCCUCCACUCUCAAUCCUGCUGCUUCUCUUCAGCAGCUCGUCUGAAGGAUCAGCAGUCGCAGACAAAUACUGAGUGAGAGUUUCAGUCUCAGCUCCCACACCACUCAUGAGAGGGACCAGCGUGACUGCAGGCAGCCAGUAUAAACCAGUAUGCAAAUCAUUAUAAAUUGUAAUAAUAAAAGGUAAGAUGG
This is a long non-coding RNA of Oreochromis niloticus (Nile tilapia), 685 nucleotides long. RefSeq lists it as uncharacterized. The record is from RefSeq and is a predicted model, not a curated record. The transcript is spliced from 3 exons. NCBI's taxonomy places the organism in Eukaryota, Metazoa, Chordata, Actinopteri, Cichliformes, Cichlidae.